Molecule: ribosomal RNA, 253 nt
Filed under: uncultured bacterium
Lineage: Bacteria
Description: partial 16S ribosomal RNA
Rfam family: Bacterial small subunit ribosomal RNA
Source: RNAcentral
UACGGAGGGGGCAAGCGUUGUUCGGAUUUACUGGGCGUAAAGCGUAUGUAGGCGGUUUGGUAAGUUACUUGUAAAAUUUCUGAGCUUAACUCAGAGCGGCCAAGUAAUACUGCCGAACUAGAGUGCAGAAGGGGCAAUUGGAAUUCUUGGUGUAGCGGUGAAAUGCGUAGAUAUCAAGAGGAACACCAGAGGCGAAGGCGAAUUGCUGGGCUGACACUGACGCUGAGAUACGAAAGCUAGGGGAGCAAACAGG